RNAcentral lists this ribosomal RNA (194 nucleotides) under uncultured bacterium. RNAcentral's name for it is "partial 16S ribosomal RNA". It matches the Rfam family "Bacterial small subunit ribosomal RNA", at positions 157 to 334 of the family's 1533-position model. The record is from RNAcentral.
GGAAUGCUAAUACCUGAUAAGCCUACGCCCUCCUCGGGAGGAAGUAGGAAAAGGUGGGGACCUUCGGGCCUGCCGUUGUUGGAUGAGUCCGCGGCCCAUUAGCUAGUUGGUAGGGGUAAUGGCCCUACCAAGGCUACGAUGGGUAGCUGGUCUGAGAGGAUGAUCAGCCACACUGGAACUGAGACACGGUCCAG